This 303-nucleotide ribosomal RNA is filed under the name uncultured bacterium. RNAcentral's name for it is "partial 16S ribosomal RNA". It matches the Rfam family "Bacterial small subunit ribosomal RNA", at positions 507 to 807 of the family's 1533-position model. The record is from RNAcentral.
AGCAGUCGCCACGGGAAUACGUAGGGUGCAAGCGUUGUCCGGAAUUAUUGGGCGUAAAGGGCUCGCAGGCGGUUUCUUAAGUCUGAUGUGAAAGCCCCCGGCUCAACCGGGGAGGGUCAUUGGAAACUGGGAAACUUGAGUGCAGAAGAGGAGAGUGGAAUUCCACGUGUAGCGGUGAAAUGCGUAGAGAUGUGGAGGAACACCAGUGGCGAAGGCGACUCUCUGGUCUGUAACUGACGCUGAGGAGCGAAAGCGUGGGGAGCGAACAGGAUUAGAUACCCCCGUAGUCCCUGUCUCUUAUAC